This is a non-coding RNA of Paramuricea clavata, 73 nucleotides long. NCBI's taxonomy places the organism in Eukaryota, Metazoa, Cnidaria, Anthozoa, Malacalcyonacea, Plexauridae. The record is from the annotation of a GenBank genome assembly.
GACUCUAUAGCUCAGUUGGUUAGAGCGCUGCACAGGAAUAGCAGUGCUGCAGGUUCAAUUCCUGCCAGGGACC